GUGAGGAAUAUUGGUCAAUGGGCGGAAGCCUGAACCAGCCAAGUCGCGUGAGGGAAGACGGUCCUAUGGAUUGUAAACCUCUUUUGCCGGGGAGCAAUGACAUUCUUGCGAGAGUGUAGGGAGAGUACCCGGAGAAAAAGCAUCGGCUAACUCCGUGCCAGCAGCCGCGGUAAUACGGAGGAUGCGAGCGUUAUCCGGAUUUAUUGGGUUUAAAGGGUGCGUAGGCGGGCUGUUAAGUCAGCGGUCAAAGGUCGGGGCUAAACCCCGGCAGGAAGGGGAAAAGGGAGGGAGGGAGGGAGAGAGAAGGAGGAGGAAGGAGGGGGGGAGCGGGGAAAGGAAGAGAGAGCACGCAGAACUCCGAUGGCGAAGGCAGCAUACCGGCGCGCAACUGACGCUGAGGCACGAAAGCGUGGGGAGCGAACAGGA
Molecule: ribosomal RNA, 426 nt
Filed under: uncultured bacterium
Lineage: Bacteria
Description: bacterial SSU rRNA
Rfam family: Bacterial small subunit ribosomal RNA
Source: RNAcentral